GACGAACGCUGGCGGCGUGCUUAACACAUGCAAGUCGAACGGAAAGGCCCUGCUUGUGUGGGGUGCUCGAGUGGCGAACGGGUGAGUAACACGUGAGUAACCUGCCCUUGACUUUGGGAUAACUUCAGGAAACUGGGGCUAAUACCGGAUAGGAGCUCCUGCUGCAUGGUGGGGGUUGGAAAGUUUCGGCUGUUGGGGAUGGACUCGCGGCUUAUCAUCUUGUUGGUGGGGUAGUGGCUUACCAAGGCUUUGACGGGUAGCCGGCCUGUGAGGGUGACCGGCCACAUUGGGACUGAGAUACGGCCCAGACUCCUACGGGAGGCAGCAGUGGGGAAUAUUGCACAAUGGGCGGACGCCUGAUGCAGCAACGCCGCGUGCGGGAUGACGGCCUUCGGGUUGUAAACCGCUUUCGCCUGUGACGACGCGUGAGUGACGGUAAUGGGUAAAGAAGCACCGGCUAACUACGUG
This 468-nucleotide ribosomal RNA is filed under the name uncultured bacterium. RNAcentral's name for it is "partial 16S ribosomal RNA". It matches the Rfam family "Bacterial small subunit ribosomal RNA", at positions 28 to 507 of the family's 1533-position model. The record is from RNAcentral.